Molecule: ribosomal RNA, 498 nt
Filed under: uncultured bacterium
Lineage: Bacteria
Description: partial 16S ribosomal RNA
Rfam family: Bacterial small subunit ribosomal RNA
Source: RNAcentral
AUUGAACGCUGGCGGCAUGCCUUACACAUGCAAGUCGAACGGUAACAGGCCUUCGGAUGCUGACGAGUGGCGAACGGGUGCGUAAUACCUCGGAACGUGCCAGAUCGUGGGGGAUAACGAAGCGAAAGCUUUGCUAAUACCGCAUAAGAUCUACGGAUGAAAGCAGGGGACCGCAAGGCCUUGCGCGAACGGAGCGGCCGAUGGCAGAUUAGGUAGUUGGUGGGAUAAAAGAUUGCCAAGCCGACGAUCUGUAGCUGGUCUGAAAGGACGACCAGCCUCAAUGGGAAUGAGACACGACCCAGACUCCUACGGGAGGCAGCACUGGGGAAUGUUGGACAAUGGGCGAAAGCCUGAUCCAGCCAUGCCGCGUGCAGGAUGAAGGGCUUCGGGUUGUAAACUGCUUUUGUACGGAACGAAAAGACUCUUUCUAAUAAAGAGGGUCCAUGACGGUACCGUAAGAAUAAGCACCGGCUAACUACGUGCCAGCAGCAGCCGCGG